AUGGAAGUAGUGAAAACCUUGGCUUGCUCCCAGUCGAAGGAACGUUUGUGUAGUGAAUAUGCAAUUUAUGAAGCAUUUGGAACCUGGAGAGUUCUGCCUUGGACAUUAGGAACAAAAAACAAAAAAAAAACAAAACAAAAACAAAACCAAAAAAAAAAAAAAAAACGUAAAAAUGAAGUAAAGAAGCUCAGAAUUCCUUGUAAUGAUAGAGACCAGUGCUGCUUCUGCUCCGUGUUGCCUGCUCCAGACAGAGGCACCAGAAUUCAAUUCCUGUGUGUCACUCUUUGUCAUGAGGAGCUGAUCAAAGUCAUAGAGUUCAGAGAGCCUUCUGAGGAACAGUUGUGUCUGGAGACCUAA
This 357-nucleotide long non-coding RNA is filed under the name Anas platyrhynchos platyrhynchos (common mallard). Its description in RNAcentral is "lncRNA (ENSAPLG00000025850.1)". The record is from RNAcentral. Lineage: Eukaryota; Metazoa; Chordata; Aves; Anseriformes; Anatidae.